UACGAUGGAUAGCCGGCCUAAGAGGGUGAUCGGCCACAUUGGGACUGAGAUACGGCCCAGACUCCUACGGGAGGCAGCAGUAGGGAAUUUUGCGCAAUGGACGAAAGUCUGACGCAGCAACGCCGCGUGAGGGAUGACGGCCUUCGGGUUGUAAACCUCUGUUGAGUGGGAAGAAAAGCUUUGUGGUUAAUAUCCACAGAGUCUGACGGUACCACUCGAGGAAGCUCCGGCUAACUACGUGCCAGCAGCCGCGGUAAUACGUAGGGGGCUAGCGUUGUUCGGAAUCACUGGGCGUAAAGGGAGUGUAGGCGGACCGGUAAGUUAGGAGUUAAAUGUACGGGCUCAACCCGUGAUCUGCUUUUAAUACUGUCGGUCUUGAGUAUGGGAGAGGGAGAUGGAAUUCCAGGUGUAGCGGUGGAAUGCGUAGAUAUCUGGAAGAACACCAGUUGCGAAGGCGGUCUCCUGGACCAAUACUGAUGCUGAUGCUCGAAAGCUGGGGGAGCGAACAGGAUUAGAUACCCUGGUAGUCCCAGCCGUAAACGAUGGACACUAGUUGCCGGAGGAGUCAAUCCCUUCGGUGACGAAGCUAACGCAUUAAGUGUCCCGCCUGGGGAGUACGCUCGCAAGGGUGAAACUCAAAGGAAUUGACGGGGGCCCGCACAAGCGGUGGAGCAUGUGCUUUAAUUCGAUGCAACGCGAAGAACCUUACCUGGGUUUGACAUGGGGGUGAAAGUUUCCAGAGAUGGAAGCCUUUCCUUCGGGAACACCCCACACAGGUGCUGCAUGGUUGUCGUCAGCUCGUGUCGUGAGAUGUUGGGUUAAGUCCCGCAACGAGCGCAACCCCUGCCCUUAGUUGCCAUCAGGUAAAGCUGGGAACUCUAAGGGGACAGCUUGGUAUAACCAGGAGGAAGGUGGGGAUGACGUCAAAUCAUCAUGGCUCUUACGCCCAGGGCUAGACACGUGCU
This 965-nucleotide ribosomal RNA is filed under the name uncultured organism. Its description in RNAcentral is "bacterial SSU rRNA". It matches the Rfam family "Bacterial small subunit ribosomal RNA", at positions 275 to 1226 of the family's 1533-position model. The record is from RNAcentral.